RNAcentral lists this ribosomal RNA (459 nucleotides) under uncultured bacterium. Its description in RNAcentral is "partial 16S ribosomal RNA". It matches the Rfam family "Bacterial small subunit ribosomal RNA", at positions 355 to 803 of the family's 1533-position model. The record is from RNAcentral.
UGGGGAAUUUUGGACAAUGGGCGAAGCCUGAUCCAGCAAUGCCGCGUGUGUGAAGAAGGCCUUCGGGUUGUAAAGCACUUUUGUCCGGAAAGAAAUCCUUGGCUCUAAUACAGUCGGGGGAUGACGGUACCGGAAGAAUAAGCACCGGCUAACUACGUGCCAGGCAGCCGCGGUAAUACGUAGGGUGCAAGCGUUAAUCGGAAUUACUGGGCGUAAAGCGUGCGCAGGCGGUUUGCUAAGACCGAAUGUGAAAUCCCCGGGCUCAACCUGGGAACUGCAUUGGUGACUGGCAGGCUAGAGUAUGGCAGAGGGGGGUUAGAAUUCCACGUGUAGCAGUGAAAUGCGUAGAGAUGUGGAGGAAUACCGAUGGCGAAGGCAGCCCCCUGGGCCAAUANUGACGCUCAUGCACGAAAGCGUGGGGAGCAAACAGGAUUAGAUACCCUGGGUAGUCCACGCCCU